AUGGACGGUGGCAGUGGCCUGAAUAUACUGUAUGCAGAGACGUUGAAGGGAAUGGGUAUUCCAAUGUCCAGACUCAGUGAAAGCAAUAUAAGUUUCCAUGGGGUCAUUCCAGGCAAGAAGGCUGCAUCCCUCGGUCAGAUUGCUCUCGACGUGGUUUUCGGUGAUUCCAAAAAUUACCGCAAAGAAAAGUUGACAUUUGAAGUUGUGGAUUUCCAGAGUGCCUAUCAUUCCAUUCUGGGCAGGCCAGCUUAUGCACGUUUUAUGGCUCGACCAUGUUACGUGUACCUCAAAUUGAAGAUGCCUGGUCCCAAAGGGGUGAUCACUAUCUCUGGUAAUCGGAAGAAGGCAGAAGAGUGCUUCCAGAAGGGCUCAAAAAUCGCCGAUGCUCAGAUGGCCGUGGUAGAAUUGCAAGAAUACCAGAAAAAUGCAGAUCCGAGUGAUUUGUUGCGAGCCAAGAAGCCAGCCACAGAUUCAGCAUUCCAGUCGUCUGGUGAAACGAAGUCGAUUCACAUUCACCCGACAGACCCCAAUGCUGCUCCGACUCACAUUUCAACCACACUCGACUCCAAAUAG
RNAcentral lists this ribosomal RNA (573 nucleotides) under Triticum aestivum (bread wheat). RNAcentral describes it as "partial small subunit ribosomal RNA". Lineage: Eukaryota; Viridiplantae; Streptophyta; Magnoliopsida; Poales; Poaceae. The record is from RNAcentral.